GACGAACGCUGGCGGCGUGCUUAACACAUGCAAGUCGAACGGAAAGGCCUCUUUCGGGGGGUACUCGAGUGGCGAACGGGUGAGUAACACGUGAGUACCCUGCCCUUUACUUUGGGAUAACUUCAGGCAACUGGGGCUAAAACCGGAUAGGAGCUCCUGCUGCCUGGUGGGGGUUGGAAAGUUUCGGCGGUUGGGGAUGGACUCGCGGCUUAUCCGCUUGUUGGUGUGGUAGUGGCUUACCAAGGCUUUGACGGGUAGCCGGCCUGAGAGGGUGACCGGCGACAUUGAGACUGAGAUACGGCCCAGACUCCUACGGGAGGCAGCAGGGGGGAAGAUUGCACAAUGGGUGGAAGCCGGAUGCAGCAACGCCGUGUGCGGGAUGACGGCCUUCGGGUUGUAAACCGCGUUCGCUCAUGAAGAAGCUUUGUGUGACGGUAGUGGGUAAAGAAGCACCGGCUAACUACGUG
This 467-nucleotide ribosomal RNA is filed under the name uncultured bacterium. Its description in RNAcentral is "partial 16S ribosomal RNA". It matches the Rfam family "Bacterial small subunit ribosomal RNA", at positions 28 to 507 of the family's 1533-position model. The record is from RNAcentral.